AUGGAAGGAGAAAACCCAAAUCAUUUGGCAUAGAAAAAAGCAUUUGCUUUUUCCUUAAAUUGCAGUUCAUUUUGCUCAAGACUGUAGAAGCAGAGACUUCAGGUUGCAGUAACUGACAUUUUCACCUAGUAAAUUUCCUUUUCUUACACUGUGGCCUGAACUUCACAAGCAGGGAGAAUUGCCUGUUGCUUGUUAGUGACCUUGUACGCUGUCUGACCCAACGUGGCAGACGAGCAUUGCCACCAGAGCCUGGCUGUCCUUCGGUGCUUCAGACCUGAGAGAAUUAGUAGUUGCAACAUCAGAUUUGUCAGCCCAGUCCACUGGACAGCAAAAUCGUACUUAUGAUGGGCCAUUGGCUGUGCCACAACCUUGCAAGUUGCUGAACCAGGCUGUGGCCUCCCUGCUACUGCUGUUACCCCGGUGGACAUCCUUUUGACCUACAGGGGUGAGGCUGUGAUGCGGUGCUCAGUUUUUACCUUCUUGAUCCACAUGGAGUGUGCGGCUAGUCAAGAGGGAAGUCAACUGCAUGGAUAACAGAUGAAAGUCUAUUGGUGUCGGGACUGUCACUGGUACUUGGAUGAGUUCUCUCUACCUUUUUUUGGGGUGUCUGUCUACAGUUUGUCAUGCACAGUGCUUCUUGAACCUUCAAUGUCCAAGUGAACAUUCGGAGUGCAGAAUAGCCAAACUGCUUCAUGAACAAGAAGGUCGUUGGAACAGGGCACUACAUCAAUUACUCAUGUAUCACGAUGAUGGAUACUGUGAAAACUGAGAGGAAAUGCAGGGAUUUUUUUUGUGGUGCAAUUUGGAAGCAUUUAAAAACUCUUCUCUGUGUACUUAUUGCUGGUUUGCUGUAUUCAAACAAUGCUUUUAAACACCAGUAUUCAGCCACACAUGGGGACUGUGAGCAUGAUUUUGUCCAUUGUGCUAUCUGCUUCCUUUUAGUGAAAUGAAACGAUGCCAUGUUUCACAUACUGUUCCUUCCCAUGACAGCAGCCACAGGGCUCAGGAAACUGCUCAGAGCAGCGUGGGCUGUCUCCAGCAAACACUCCCAUCUGGGGAGGCACUUGGGAAGCAGAGGGAGGCAGGUGUGCAGCUGCCAGCCCCCAAUCCCCGCGGGGAAAACUCUGCAUUCCCAGCAAAAGGAACCUCCUGGCAUGCUCUCCCAUCUCGGGGGUCUGCCUGGCCUUUUGCUGACAGCAUAAUUUUCUAAGGAGUCUCAGAGUCCGACAUCUCUGUUCACGACCCUUUUUUCCUAAGCAACAUUAAUAACUGCUGUGGGUCUGGCAGGUGCAACGUCCGCUAAUUGUGUCUGCAUCACCAGGCCUUAUCCUAACAGCCCUCCAACAUCUACAUUCCUACCUGGGCAACGAAGAAACCUCCAUUUAUCCUAGAAAGAGUGCACUGCUCACUCAUGAGCUCUUGGCCAACAGCUCCCCAUCAAGAAGAAACAUAUAGUUAGGAAAUUUGCCUAAGCCAUCACAGACCUGGAAAAACUCAUUGGCAUGUCUGAUGGAACUGAACAGCAUUUACCAGUUUGAAUUAUGGCUUACACUACAAGCACACCUGAAGUACCUUUCUAAGGUGAACAAAGAGACAUCUUCCUUGAACAGGUAGAAAUCGUUGCUAUCCACUUGUCUGACAGGGCCAUGCUCACCAAGGUGGUAGCAGACAGCAUGGUGGGAAUCCACAGUGACCAGACACUGAGCCAGGUGGAGGUAAGUCUGGGCUGAGGAGCUGCUGUGUGGGUGAGCUUCCCAGCCCUUGCAAGACAGCGAAGCGUGCCUAUUGUGACACUGCUUACUCAUCCCUGGUGCUGGU
Molecule: long non-coding RNA, 1818 nt
Organism: Oxyura jamaicensis (ruddy duck)
Lineage: Eukaryota; Metazoa; Chordata; Aves; Anseriformes; Anatidae
Exons: 4
Source: RefSeq, a predicted model, not a curated record